GGUCGGGCACUUGUUUGUAAUAAAGAGGGCUAUAGAAUGCCAGACAAGCGUGAAAAAAUUGUAAGACAAAGGGCAGAGACAAGAGUUGGCUGCAGAGCAAUGAUUUUGCUUAGAAAAGUAGGCUCCGGUAAAUGGGUUGUUACAAAGUUUGUCAAGGAGCACACUCAUCCUCUAACACCUGGUAAAGGCCGAAGGGAUUGCAUUUAUGAUCAGUAUCCGAAUGAACAUGAUAAAAUCCGUGAACUAUCGCAGCAGCUGGCUAUAGAGAAAAAGAGAGCAGCGACUUACAAAAGGCAUUUGGAAUUGAUAUUUGAGCAUAUUGAGGAGCAUAAUAACAGUCUAUCAAAGAAGAUCCAACAUAUAGUAGACAAUGUGAGAGAGAUGGAAAAAAAAAGAGGAGCAAAAUCGUGUAUAGGGUCCAGUAAUUUUCGCUCGUUUUGUUUUUACUAAAAUACAAAAUCAAGAAUUGGUAUACAGAAUGCUGUUGGGUAGCAACAGAUUCUCAUGGGUUAGACGUCAAAUGCUGACUUGCUCUUCUUGGGUGUCCAGCUAGUUACACAUUGUGAAAAUGUUUUGAUUUAGCAGCAUUGAUUUGGGUUAUUGAGUAUAAUUAUGGUCCUAUUUUUGGAGCACAUAAUGAGUAGGAGAAAUAGAGACUUGAUGUAUAGUUAUCCAAUCCCAUGUCUGCAAGGUUAUGCCAAAAAUAUGAAAUUGGUCUUCACCAUAAGGGCAUCAUUGUGUCCCAAGGAAAUUCUACAUAAAUGGCAAUGGAAUGCAAUGUUGAACUUCCUUGGGACACAAUGAUGCCCUUAUGGNGAAAUGUAUUUCUUUUCUUAUUGUUUUCGUCUUCUUUUUAAUAUAUUUUAUUGGAUUAUGU
This 877-nucleotide unclassified non-coding RNA is filed under the name Hevea brasiliensis (rubber tree). The record is from RNAcentral. Lineage: Eukaryota; Viridiplantae; Streptophyta; Magnoliopsida; Malpighiales; Euphorbiaceae.